Molecule: ribosomal RNA, 468 nt
Filed under: uncultured bacterium
Lineage: Bacteria
Description: partial 16S ribosomal RNA
Rfam family: Bacterial small subunit ribosomal RNA
Source: RNAcentral
GACGAACGCUGGCGGCGUGCUUAACACAUGCAAGUCGAACGGAAAGUCCCUGCUUUUGUGGGGUGCUCGAGUGGCGAACGGGUGAGUAACACGUGAGUAACCUGCCCUUGACUUUGGGAUAACUUCAGGAAACUUGGGCUAAUACCGGAUAGGAGCUCCUGCUGCAUGGUGGGGGUUGGUAAGUUUCGGCGGUUGGGGAUGGACUCGCGGCUUAUCAGCUUGUUGGUUGGGUAGUGGCUUACCAAGGCUUUGACGGGUAGCCGGCCUGCGAGGGGGACCGGCCAAAUUGGGAUUGAGAUACGGCCCAGACUACUACGGGAGGCAGGAGUGGGGAAUAUUGCACAAUGGGCGGAAGCCUGAUGCAGCAACGCCGCGUGCGGGAUGACGGCCUUCGGGUUGUAAACCGCUUUCGCCUGUGACGAAGCGUGAGUGACGGUAAUGGGUAAAGAAGCACCGGCUAACUACGUG